UUUGCAGGUGGCUGCUAUUGAGCACUUACUCAGGCUUUUAGUAACAGCCCUCUGGUUUGGUGUGGCACUGUCACGUGGUUCUCAGGUCCGUGAACAUCCACAGCUUCCCUCUGGUUCCUGGGUCGGGUUUAGGCCCUGCCUUUCCUGUGUGGAGCACUGAGAGAUGAAGAUGCUAUCAGGUGGAGGUCUUCCAAACUGCAGGAAGAAAUGAGAGAAAAGGAACGAUUAUACAGCAUCAGUCAGCAUCAGAAACUUUCUAAAUCGAAGAAAACAAUCAGCCUUAUGUAUAUCUGCUGCAUCUGAGGGUUGUAUCUCAACAAGGAGAGAAGAAAAACACAUUUUCCUCUUGUAAAAUUCACCCUGGACACUGGGUGCAUGUACAACCCCAUGGCUUCAAUCAUGUGAUCCUACCAACCUUGUCUCCCUCUUGCCCACAACCAUAAAUGCUUUCUUUUUUCCCCCUUCCUUUGAGAGGCUAGUCUGGGACUUAAAUCACUCUUUCUACCUUAAAAGCCUGUGCUCACUCCACAGAUGAUACUCCCUUACCCUCCCAGACCCUCGGUUUCCAUAUCUACCGUAUGAGAAAGAGGCUGUUAUUAUGAAACACACCACUAUGCAAACAAGGGAGAAAAUGUUAAUCAUUAAAGACAAGAUAUAUACCUUCACUACCAUCUCAGUGAUAAACAACAGUCAUCCUAUGACUGUUUCUUUUGACUGUCAUAUAAAAUACACAAAUCUACAACCGAACAAAUAUUUCAGUAUUAAUCACUAAAUGUGGUCCUACUUGAAAUUCUGAACUGUAUGCUAUUCGUAAGUAGUUACGUUCUAAAAGGUGUCUUCUCUUAGUGCAGGAGACUGCACUUCUGUGGUCAAGAAAUGAAGGCCAAACUAGUGCACAGCCCAGUUGCUGCUGCUUUUCGUCACUGUUUUCUCAAGAAAUACUGGUCUUAGGUACUGAUACAUUUACAACUUGUUGAUAAUCUUAGAGAUAGAGGACCAAAGACCUCAUAAGAACAAAUGAGAAGCCAUGAAGUAUAUUUCACUUCAUGCUCUUUAUAUUACUGGGUGCAGAACUGUUCUAUAAACAUUAGGUAAAUUUGAGUUGUUGAACUAAUUUCAAACAAACGUUUUCUUAAUUUACUCC
Long non-coding RNA from Bubalus bubalis (water buffalo), 1144 nucleotides. RefSeq lists it as uncharacterized. NCBI's taxonomy places the organism in Eukaryota, Metazoa, Chordata, Mammalia, Artiodactyla, Bovidae. The record is from RefSeq and is a predicted model, not a curated record. The transcript has 2 exons.